RNAcentral lists this ribosomal RNA (424 nucleotides) under Fusobacteriota bacterium. Its description in RNAcentral is "Fusobacteria bacterium partial 16S ribosomal RNA". It matches the Rfam family "Bacterial small subunit ribosomal RNA", at positions 355 to 776 of the family's 1533-position model. The record is from RNAcentral. Lineage: Bacteria; Fusobacteriati; Fusobacteriota.
UGAGGAAUAUUGGUCAAUGGGCGAGAGCCUGAACCAGCCAAGUAGCGUGCAGGAUGACGGCCCUAUGGGUUGUAAACUGCUUUUAUGUGGGGAUAAAGUGCGUGACGUGUCAUGCAUUGCAGGUACCACAUGAAUAAGGACCGGCUAAUUCCGUGCCAGCAGCCGCGGUAAUACGGAAGGUCCGGGCGUUAUCCGGAUUUAUUGGGUUUAAAGGGAGCGUAGGCUGUCUAUUAAGCGUGUUGUGAAAUUUACCGGCUCAACCGGUGGCUUGCAGCGCGAACUGGUCGACUUGAGUAUGCAGGAAGUAGGCGGAAUUCAUGGUGUAGCGGUGAAAUGCUUAGAUAUCAUGACGAACUCCGAUUGCGCAGGCAGCUUACUGUAGCAUAACUGACGCUGAUGCUCGAAAGUGCGAGUAUCAAACAGG